GGGGCCGUAGCUCAACCGGGAGAGCGCCGCCUUUGCAAGGCGGAGGUCGGGGGUUCGAGUCCCCCCGGCUCCACCA
RNAcentral lists this transfer RNA (76 nucleotides) under Chloroflexi bacterium HGW-Chloroflexi-9. Its description in RNAcentral is "tRNA-Ala". It matches the Rfam family "tRNA". Rfam says of the family: Transfer RNA (tRNA) molecules are approximately 80 nucleotides in length. Their secondary structure includes four short double-helical elements and three loops (D, anti-codon, and T loops). Further hydrogen bonds mediate the characteristic L-shaped molecular structure. tRNAs have two regions of fundamental functional importance: the anti-codon, which is responsible for specific mRNA codon recognition, and the 3' end, to which the tRNAs corresponding amino acid is attached (by aminoacyl-tRNA synthetases). tRNAs cope with the degeneracy of the genetic code in two manners: having more than one tRNA (with a specific anti-codon) for a particular amino acid; and 'wobble' base-pairing, i.e. permitting non-standard base-pairing at the 3rd anti-codon position. Lineage: Bacteria; Bacillati; Chloroflexota. The record is from RNAcentral. RNAcentral also lists the same sequence under 2 other names.